AUUGAACGCUGGCGGCAGGCCUAACACAUGCAAGUCGAGCGGUAGAGAGAAGCUUGCUUCUCUUGAGAGCGGCGGACGGGUGAGUAAUGCCUAGGAAUCUGCCUGGUAGUGGGGGAUAACGUUCGGAAACGGACGCUAAUACCGCAUACGUCCUACGGGAGAAAGCAGGGGACCUUCGGGCCUUGCGCUAUCAGAUGAGCCUAGGUCGGAUUAGCUAGUUGGUGGGGUAAUGGCUCACCAAGGCGACGAUCCGUAACUGGUCUGAGAGGAUGAUCAGUCACACUGGAACUGAGACACGGUCCAGACUCCUACGGGAGGCAGCAGUGGGGAAUAUUGGACAAUGGGCGAAAGCCUGAUCCAGCCAUGCCGCGUGUGUGAAGAAGGUCUUCGGAUUGUAAGGCACUUUAAGUUGGGAGGAAGGGUUGUAGAUUAAUACUCUGCAGUUUUGACGUUACCGACAGAAUAAGCACCGGCUAACUCUGUGCCAGCCGCCGCCGUAA
Molecule: ribosomal RNA, 500 nt
Filed under: uncultured bacterium
Lineage: Bacteria
Description: partial 16S ribosomal RNA
Rfam family: Bacterial small subunit ribosomal RNA
Source: RNAcentral